CUCAGGCAAACCAUCAAAGCACAUGGAAGUAUUUAUUAAUCAACAGGUAAGCUGCUGCAUCCAGAAACAAGCGAUCACUACAGACGCUUUGACAAAAUCCAACCUGGGCGAGUCAUUCAAACCGAAGCAAUAUUUGUUAGGCGUCUUUUUUUUCAAAAUGAGAGUUAAUGCUUGCCCACAGGCUUGAAGUUGUUCAGCACAUUGUUUAACUGCAUAUGGCAUGAGUUUGGAGCUGGGAAAAUCUCAUCGCUGCCCCCAUCCAGCAUGAGCCUUGUGCAGUGGAGCUAAUGAAAGACACUGUUCCUAGCUAUAUAUAGUAAAAAGCACGCAUCCACCAGAAAACCAUAGCAAUGGGUAGCAGAGAUACAUUUUAACAAAAAUCUAGCUAGAGAAAAUUACUUCAACAGACAAAUCUAGCUAGAGAGAAUUACUUCAGUAGACAGACAACCCUCCUAGACUCCAAUCCUGCAAGAAUACAAAAGGAACCGUGUCAAGCUACUGCAUAUGAUCCAUAACUGAAACAGCAUUCGGCGAGAGUUGAAGCAUAAUUCAUUCAGUACACUGAUAAACACUAAAUCCUUCGAUUUUGAAGAUUGAACAGCAACUAACACAAGGAACCACACUUAUUAGCUAUGCUGGUCCCAUUCUAGCAAUUCAUGAAAAAAAAAGAAUCACCGGAGCAUCGCUUAAAUGGAGGAAACGUGAUCGCGAACAAAGUACAUCCAUUAACUGUAUCGGCUACAGCAGCUCCAAACGACAAAGCGAAAUGGUUCAUCAAUAUUACAACCGAACAACAGAAAUUUGCUCAUGAUACCCUCUUCUUAAGCGGACGGGAUCUCCACCUCGCCGUCGUCAAUCUCCUGCUGGAGGUCCUUGGGGUCCUUGCCGUCGACGGUGCAGCCGACGCUGACGCAGGUGCCGAGAAUCUCCUUGACGCAGCCGGACAUUUCCUUGGCCAUGGACCUGGGCCUCAUGGUCCUGGCAAUCUCGAUGACGUCGUCGAGACUGAUGUUGCCGCUGUGCUUGAUGUUCUUGACCUUCUUGCGGUCCCUCUCGGGCUCCUUGAGCGCCUUGAUGACGAGCGCCGCGGCAGAGGGAACGACGGAGACCUUGGCCUGUCGGUUCUGGACAGUGAGCUUAACGGUGACGCGGAGGCCCUUCCAGUCCUUGGCCGUCUCCUUGGCAAUGUCCUCUCCGAUCUUCUUGGGAGAAAGACCGAGCGGACCGAUCUUGGGGGCCAACGAAGACGCCGCGCCUACCUCGCCGCCGGUCACACGGACGAACACCUCCACCACCUGCGACGGGUCGAGCUUGGGCGGCAUGGCUGCAGGCGUGGGGUGGCGGCGGGAGCUAGGGUUCAAGGCGCGAUUGCUUCGAUCGAAUGGAUAUAUUACAACGGCUGUGCCGACAAGUCUGCAGUU
Molecule: unclassified non-coding RNA, 1421 nt
Filed under: Zea mays
Lineage: Eukaryota; Viridiplantae; Streptophyta; Magnoliopsida; Poales; Poaceae
Description: misc RNA Zm00001eb251600
Source: RNAcentral